RNAcentral lists this ribosomal RNA (219 nucleotides) under uncultured Thermanaerovibrio sp. RNAcentral describes it as "partial 16S ribosomal RNA". It matches the Rfam family "Bacterial small subunit ribosomal RNA", at positions 1164 to 1382 of the family's 1533-position model. The record is from RNAcentral. Lineage: Bacteria; Thermotogati; Synergistota; Synergistia; Synergistales; Synergistaceae.
CGGAGGAAGGUGGGGAUGACGUCAAGUCAUCAUGGCCCUUAUGUCCAGGGCGACACACGUGCUACAAUGGCCGGCACAGCGGGAAGCGAGGCAGUGAUGCCAAGCGGAUCCCUUAAAGCCGGUCUCAGUUCGGAUUGCAGGCUGAAACUCGCCUACAUGAAGUUGGAGUUGCUAGUAAUCGCGAAUCAGAAUGUCGCGGUGAAUGCGUUCCCGGGUCUU